Caretta caretta (loggerhead turtle) is the source of this 1092-nucleotide long non-coding RNA. RefSeq lists it as uncharacterized. The record is from RefSeq and is a predicted model, not a curated record. NCBI's taxonomy places the organism in Eukaryota, Metazoa, Chordata, Testudines, Cheloniidae.
UUUCAGCCAGGGCUUCUGGACCACAGAGGAAGACGCCUACUCUGGAACUGUUAAGAAAGAACAUCACAGUGUGGUGGCGGGAGCAGAUAAAAGGAAGCUGGCCAGCUCAGUCAGGGCUGACUGAGGAGGAGGAUGACGUGUGCUGCUUGUUCCAGUAAGCCCUCCAGACUCCUGAGGCGGGUAUCCCGGACUACGCUACGGAGAGCACACUGGCUGUGGAGACCAGCUUGGAUGCUGAACGUGGAAGACAGGCCCACAAAUGGACUUAAGGGAAAUAAGACUGAGCUAAAUUAUAGGAAGAGAAACCCUACACAGGAAAGAACUUUCUAAUUAGAAAAUCAAAAAAUGUACCAACUAAUUUGGGAAAAUGUGGCCACAGCUAACACAGAGUCUGCUUCCUACAUGACUAAGUUUGCACAGGAGAUUAAACUCAAUCAGAAAGUGGAGCUGCUACGUAUUACCUGUCCUGUUCAUCUGAUUAAUGUUGCACUGUCAGUAGCUACUGCUACAGGAGAAAUGGAAGAUGUGACAUCUUGCAUCAUUGGAUUCGCGGCCAUUUUCAAGCAUGCACACACGUUGAAGGCUUUGUUUGACACCAGUGCAAGACGAGUGCAGUGUCGGGUGCUGAUUACUACGCCUGUUGUGCCACAUCAGUAGAUGAGCUUGUAUUUCACUGCCGGUCAUGUAAAUAACAUGUGCACUGUGCUACUGCCUCUCCUAGAUCAGCUUGGAGUUUUGUUGGUUCUAAAGCAGAAACUCUGAAGUGACUGGCAAAUAACCAAAAUGAUCACCAGAUUCUGCGCACCAAGUUAAUGUUCAUGGUUGAAAACUUGGAAUCACUGUGCGACACACAGAAAACACUGGAAUUUUCCUCGGAUUACUGCCAACGUGUUUGCCAGUACAGACAUUUACUGGAUCCUGACAACUAAAAUCUCAGCUGGAGUGAGCACAAAAGCUGCAGGAGAAAUAUACGAUGACAAAAACCCAGCUGUUUCUAGAAAUCCUUCGCCCCCAGAAUAUGAGAACCAAACAAGCAUUCAAAACCUUCCACACAAUGCUCAGCCGGAAAUGGGAGAUGACUGUGUCUCAAUC